CGGAUGUUACAAUGCCUUCUCAUUAGGUAGAGAAGGGGCCUGGCCUGGGUCCCAACUCUGCCAGGUCAGCUUAUCCCAUGAGAGCACCAGGCCUCGGUGUUGACUAGCUGUCUGUAGACAAUAAGGUGCGAUGCCCCCCUACCAGACCUGGUCUGACGAGCCCUCCUGGUAGUGGGUAGGAAGCACGUUCCAAACCUGAGGCCUCUGUGAGCGCACACAGGGAGUAAGCUUCGGUGGAGGGUGACUUGCGAGAUUCGGAGAUAAGAGGAGACUCUGAGCAGUACUCAGGCCCCGAAGGAGGACAGAGGCCAGGGCAGCCACAGCGGACGGGCAGAGGAAGCGCCGCUCUUGCCCAAGGGAAGCCCCUCCACCUCGAAGUCCCUCAACCAACGGAAGUGGAGCCGAAACCACCAAGUGCCUUGGACAGGGUCUCGCUAUGCAGUUCAGGCUGGCCUUGAGCUCACUUUGUAGCCCAGGCUGGUCUCAAACUCAAAACGAUCCUCCUGCCUCAGCCUCCUGAGUGCUAGGAUUACAGGUGUG
This 540-nucleotide long non-coding RNA is filed under the name Chinchilla lanigera (long-tailed chinchilla). RNAcentral describes it as "lncRNA (ENSCLAG00000028648.1)". The record is from RNAcentral. Lineage: Eukaryota; Metazoa; Chordata; Mammalia; Rodentia; Chinchillidae.